AGCAGUAGCCACGGUAAUACAGAGGGUGCGAGCGUUAAUCGGAUUUACUGGGCGUAAAGCGUGCGUAGGCGGCUAAUUGAGUCGGAUGUGAAAUCCCCGAGCUUAACUUGGGAAUUGCAUUCGAUACUGGUUAGCUAGAGUGUGGGAGAGGAUGGUAGAAUUCCAGGUGUAGCGGUGAAAUGCGUAGAGAUCUGGAGGAAUACCGAUGGCGAAGGCAGCCAUCUGGCCUAACACUGACGCUGAGGUACGAAAGCAUGGGGAGCAAACAGGAUUAGAGACCCCCGUAGUCCCUGUCUCUUAUAC
This 303-nucleotide ribosomal RNA is filed under the name uncultured bacterium. RNAcentral describes it as "partial 16S ribosomal RNA". It matches the Rfam family "Bacterial small subunit ribosomal RNA", at positions 507 to 807 of the family's 1533-position model. The record is from RNAcentral.